Molecule: microRNA precursor, 162 nt
Filed under: Paramuricea clavata
Lineage: Eukaryota; Metazoa; Cnidaria; Anthozoa; Malacalcyonacea; Plexauridae
Source: RNAcentral
AUCAGGCCUUAAGGCCGUUUUCCACUAGGCGGAAUUUUCCGCGCGGAGCGGAAUUUUUCUUUGUCUUUUCUAAUUAGUUCCACUCGAGAAAUCACAAGACAAAGAAAAAUUCCGCUCCGCGCGGAAAAUUCCGCCUAGUGGAAAACGGCCUUUAAGCCAGAU